Molecule: ribosomal RNA, 168 nt
Filed under: uncultured Hyphomicrobium sp.
Lineage: Bacteria; Pseudomonadati; Pseudomonadota; Alphaproteobacteria; Hyphomicrobiales; Hyphomicrobiaceae
Description: partial 16S ribosomal RNA
Rfam family: Bacterial small subunit ribosomal RNA
Source: RNAcentral
ACUCCUACGGGAGGCAGCAGUGNNNANUAUUGGACAAUGGGCGCAAGCCUGAUCCAGCCAUGCCGCGUGAGUGAUGAAGGCCUUAGGGUUGUAAAGCUCUUUUGCCGGGGACGAUAAUGACGGUACCCGGAGAAUAAGUCCCGGCUAACUUCGUGCCAGCAGCCGCGG